AGAGACGCUAGGCCGGCACUGCCUAGGUGGGCCGGGCGGUGCGAGGGUCGCCUUUCAGCCUUUACCUCUACCCACUGAAAUGGAGUAGGUCGGUGAGCGCCGAUCUGCUGGAGAAUCUCAUUAUCCCAUCGGCGCUCUGCCUGCUCCUGGCCUCCAAGCCUCUGAAGCCCCUCGGGUUUCAGCUGCCGGCUACCCUCGAGCCCGUGGUGCCCACGAGAGAGGCGACUUUACGUCAGCGGCCCUGGGCUGAGAUUUGAGAACGCGACCAAGUGGAGAAUGUUGGAGCCAGAUUUUAAAAUCCUUGUCUUCCUUCUGCGUGCUACUUGAUCUAAAUGAGAUACGGCAAAGUCACAGAACCUGUUUUUAUGUUUUUGCCUGAUUCAUACGGGCUUCUCCGGUGAAGAUGGGCCUGAAGUAACGCUUGGGUUGCUUCUGACGUUAUAACUCAUCCUGUAGCUGCAGCAACCGUGGUCCUUGCAACCUCAUAAAAAUGUUGCCAGCAUUGUUUCGAUAGUGCUGCUUAAUUCUUGGAAGGUUCUUCGGACUUCACACAUUCCAGCAGUAGCUCUCUCAGCUCCUGUCCUGCACAGCUUUGAAGUCCUGAAACAGAGAAGAGUAUGAGAAGUGUUACAGAACAUGAAGAUACCCUUGUGGCUCAAACAUACUUAUUUUUAAAAACUCUAAAAGUCUAAAUGUGUCUGUAUCUGGAUAUAUUUUCAGUCAACUUAUGCUGUGUUGGGUAAAGGUAAACCAGCAUUUUCUAAUCUAUAUUUGUGCCACUAUCACCAGCAUUACACGAUAAGAUUUGUUAUAGGUUCAGUUCUUCUAGUUGAAUCCAAUCAUGCACAGUUAAUGUAGCCCAUUUCUGUUCUCCAUAAUAAUUUAUCUUAGUUUUGGGCAACUCUUUAUAGUCAGGAUAACUCUGCAGAGUGGAUGAAAUUCUAAUGAGUGGAAUUUGUUUUCUAGUGCUUUACUGAUAAGGUUAACCAGAUGGUGAAAUGUAAUAGCUUGGAAGAUGUAGUUUUGAUAUACAGUACAUCAUUUCUGGAAUGAUCAUGAAAAAGCAAAAUCAACAGAGCUUUUUAGAUUCUCUUUUUUGGUCAUGAAAUUGAAAAUAUACCUUUUUAGAGAGAAAUAUCUCAUCAUAGUUCUCCUGACAUUUAAACUGCUUGGCUAUAUAUUUUUAAAAGAAGACAAACUUUUGAAAAUGUUGCUAUAAAUUUUUAUGUAUUGUAGAUUUAAAAAAUCUCAUUUAAAAAAUGAAAGAUUAUGAAAUUUUUUAUGUCACCUGAAGGAAUGUCUAUGAUGUGAAUUUCAAAUAAAAUAGAUUUUCUUCAAUAUUUUUAGUAAUGAUAUCAAUUAAUUCACUAAGAAACUCACAUUUCUUCCAAGACAUUGAAUUUUGAUGAAACCACAAAUCAGUGAUUAUCAAAAUAUUAGAAUUAAGCAACCCUGAACAUUAUUUUGCUAUAACAUUUGCUAAUUUGGCACAGAUAUUCUUUGAAGAUGGACAAUAUACAUUUUUUCAUCUGUUUUGAUUUUUGCUGAUAUGGAUUAUGUUAAUUAUGGAAAUCUACAAGUAUCUCACAAAUAAAUUAUGUGGAUGCAUUUAACUAU
Molecule: long non-coding RNA, 1617 nt
Filed under: Homo sapiens (human)
Lineage: Eukaryota; Metazoa; Chordata; Mammalia; Primates; Hominidae
Description: non-protein coding lnc-BMP6-106:71
Source: RNAcentral